AUUGAACGCUGGCGGCAGGCCUAACACAUGCAAGUCGAGCGGAUGAAGGGAGCUUGCUCCUGGAUUCAGCGGCGGACGGGUGAGUAAUGCCUAGGAAUCUGCCUGGUAGUGGGGGAUAACGUCCGGAAACGGGCGCUAAUACCGCAUACGUCCUGAGGGAGAAAGUGGGGGAUCUUCGGACCUCACGCUAUCAGAUGAGCCUAGGUCGGAUUAGCUAGUUGGUGGGGUAAAGGCCUACCAAGGCGACGAUCCGUAACUGGUCUGAGAGGAUGAUCAGUCACACUGGAACUGAGACACGGUCCAGACUCCUACGGGAGGCAGCAGUGGGGAAUUUUGGACAAUGGGCGAAAGCCUGCUCCAGCCAUGCCGGGUGUGUGAAGAAGGUCUUCGGAUUGUAAAGCACUUUAAGUUGGGAGGAAGGGCAGUAAGUUAAUACCUUGCUGUUUUGACGUUACCAACAGAAUAAGCACCGGCUAACUUCGUG
RNAcentral lists this ribosomal RNA (484 nucleotides) under uncultured bacterium. RNAcentral's name for it is "partial 16S ribosomal RNA". It matches the Rfam family "Bacterial small subunit ribosomal RNA", at positions 30 to 507 of the family's 1533-position model. The record is from RNAcentral.